UGAUGGUUGUUGGGAUAUCUUUAAU
RNAcentral lists this microRNA (25 nucleotides) under Equus caballus (horse). RNAcentral's name for it is "eca-miR-9044". The record is from miRBase by way of RNAcentral. Lineage: Eukaryota; Metazoa; Chordata; Mammalia; Perissodactyla; Equidae.